Molecule: unclassified non-coding RNA, 370 nt
Filed under: fungal sp.
Lineage: Eukaryota; Fungi
Description: partial internal transcribed spacer region
Rfam family: Eukaryotic small subunit ribosomal RNA (bases 1-46)
Source: RNAcentral
AAGUCGUAACAAGGUUUCCGUAGGUGAACCUGCGGAAGGAUCAUUAUCACGUUAUCCACGUAUCAACCAUUGUGAACUUGUCUUUUUGACCUUUGAGUUUAGUGAAGUUAGUGUUGUUGUAAACCGUUAUCAAACAAUAACUUGAUUGGAAUUGUUGAGGUUUAUAACAAUCAACAAAUUUUUUCAUUAAAAUUUGUUAACUUUGCUACUUAAAGUGUAUUUUCCAAUCAAAAAAUAAUUCAUUAACCAUUUAAACCUAAAUUUUUUAUAAAUUUUGAACUGAUUUAAUUUCUUACUCUCUCUUUUGAGAGAAGAAAUAAAUUUUUACGAAACAUAAGAACAACUCUUAGCAACGGAUAUCUUGGUUCUC